CACGUAGGGACCGAGCGUUGUCCGGAUUUAUUGGGCGUAAAGAGCUCGUAGGCGGUUCGGUAAGUCGGGUGUGAAAACUCUGGGCUCAACUCAGAGACGCCACCCGAUACUGCUGUGACUUGAGUCCGGUAGGGGAGCGGGGAAUUCCUGGUGUAGCGGUGAAAUGCGCAGAUAUCAGGAGGAACACCGGUGGCGAAGGCGCCGCUCUGGGCCGGAACUGACGCUGAGGAGCGAAAGCGUGGGUAGCAAA
Molecule: ribosomal RNA, 250 nt
Filed under: uncultured bacterium
Lineage: Bacteria
Description: partial 16S ribosomal RNA
Rfam family: Bacterial small subunit ribosomal RNA
Source: RNAcentral